Molecule: ribosomal RNA, 218 nt
Filed under: uncultured Streptomyces sp.
Lineage: Bacteria; Bacillati; Actinomycetota; Actinomycetes; Kitasatosporales; Streptomycetaceae
Description: partial 16S ribosomal RNA
Rfam family: Bacterial small subunit ribosomal RNA
Source: RNAcentral
GCGACGACGGGUAGCCGGCCUGAGAGGGCGUCCGGCCACACUGGGACUGAGACACGGCCCAGACUCCUACGGGAGGCAGCUGUGGGGAAUAUUGCACAAUGGGCGAAAGCCUGAUGCAGCGACGCCGCGUGAGGGAUGACGGCCUUCGGGUUGUAAACCUCUUUCAGCAGGGAAGAAGCGCAAGUGACGGUACCUGCAGAUACCUGCAGAAGAAGCGC